GAUGAACGCUGGCUACAGGCUUAACACAUGCAAGUCGAGGGGAAACGACGGGGAAGCUUGCUUCCCCGGGCGUCGACCGGCGCACGGGUGAGUAACGCGUAUCCAACCUGCCUCUGACUGAGGGAUAACCCGUCGAAAGUCGGCCUAAUACCUCAUGGCAUCGUCUGCGGGCAUCCAACGACGAUUAAAGAUUUCAUCGGUCAGAGAUGGGGAUGCGUCUGAUUAGCUUGUUGGCGGGGUAACGGCCCACCAAGGCGACGAUCAGGAGGGGUUCUGAGAGGAAGGUCCCCGACAUGGGAACUGAGACACGGUCCAAACUCCUACGGGAGGCAGCAGUGAGGAAUAGUGGUCAAUGGGCGAGAGCCUGAACCAGCCAAGUAGCGUGCAGGAUGACGGCCCUAUGGGUUGUAAACUGCUUUUAGGCGGGGAUAAAGUGAGGGACGUGUCCUUCAUUGCAGGUACCGCAUGAAUAAGGACCGGCUAAUUCCGUG
This 491-nucleotide ribosomal RNA is filed under the name uncultured bacterium. Its description in RNAcentral is "partial 16S ribosomal RNA". It matches the Rfam family "Bacterial small subunit ribosomal RNA", at positions 28 to 507 of the family's 1533-position model. The record is from RNAcentral.